ACUACGGGCGGCAGCAGUGAGGAAUAUUGGUCAAUGGCCGCAGGGCUGAACCAGCCAAGUCGCGUGAGGGAUGACGGUCCUAUGGAUUGUAAACCUCUUUUGUCAGGGAGCAAAGGGCGCCACGUGUGGCGCUUUGCGUGUACCUGAAGAAAAAGCAUCGGCUAACUCCGUGCCCGCCGCCGCGGUAAUACGGAGGCUGCGCGCGUUAUCCGGAUUUAUUGGGUUUAAAGGGUGCGUGGGCGGAAGGUUAAGUCCGCGGUAAAAGUUCGGGGCUAAACCCCGUCGUUCCGUUGAAACUGGCGUUCUUGAGUGAGCUAGAAGUAUGCGGAAUGCGUGGUGUAGCGGUGAAAUGCAUAGAUAUCACGCAGAACUCCGAUUGCGAAGGCAGCAUACCGGCGCUCAACUGACGCUCAUGCACGAAAGUGUGGGUAUCGAACAGGAUUAGAUACCCUAGUAGUC
RNAcentral lists this ribosomal RNA (459 nucleotides) under uncultured bacterium. RNAcentral describes it as "partial 16S ribosomal RNA". It matches the Rfam family "Bacterial small subunit ribosomal RNA", at positions 338 to 795 of the family's 1533-position model. The record is from RNAcentral.